UAAAUUAGCAGUUCUUGAUGUUUGAAAAUCCCUUAUCGAAAGCACAGAUGAGUUUAAUACAAGGUAUUUUACUAAUUACUACAUAAGCUUCGGCCUAUAACUAGCUUGGCGGACAUCACAUGCAUUGCCAAAAUUCAGACCCAUGACGGAUAUUACGCUACCCUAAUUUGUACCCAAAACAACAAGGGACACUGUUAUAGUUAUGGAAGCCAAAUUAACAUUAAGCAACCAUAGAUGGAGGAGAGCUCCGGUUUCCAUUGCUGCUAAAUCCCAUCCCCAAAUUCAAGUCCAGCUCCACAUUGUUGUUACUGACAGUACCAUUUUCUUUCCCUUGCAAACCAAUAUUGCUGUUACUGAUAUCACUGAACAAAUGAGCCACCGAAGUAACCACUGCACACUUUCUUCCGGCCCCAUUGUUUGCCUUGUUGUUUCUCUUUCUCAACUCUGUGGAAGACCCAGAAGAAGUUGGCGAUGGAAUGGGCAGCACGGAAGGAAUUUCAAAGUUUGUCCUGGCUUUUGCACCUCUCAGUCUCCUCGCCGCCGCGUCAUAGGCACGCGCCGCCUCCUCUGCAGUGUCGAACGUUCCCAGCCAGUGGCGGCACCGCCCUAUACGGUCACGUAUCUCUGCUGACCACCUUCCCCAAGGCCUCUUUCUUACGCCUCUGUAGCUCCUUUGCAAGGGCAUAACGCUGCCGUUCCGCUGGUUGUCACCUUCAUGCUUGGUCUGGGACCCAGUAUGCAGAGAAAUGGAAGGUUCAGGAAUUCUAGCAUUUACGUUAGCAUUAGUUCCAAACAGGACAUGUUGACCAACGACAGCGGCAAUUCCAUCAAGAACCGGUGGCGUUUCGUUUUGGAUCUCGGUUCCUUUCUUGUCAACUUCAGGUGGUGUUCUCUCACUUAAACAAGAAUGUGAAAGAACAGCCGACAUAUCUGCCGAAACAGGACAGUAGCAUAUUGGGUCAAGGUGGUUAAUGGAGAAACCUGAAGAGAACGGGUACUGAGGACCAAAAAGAGGCGGAGAGAACGAGGAUGAGUCGGUCAAGAACCGAAAAGUUUCGGUUACUUGAGAUGUUUCAGGGACGGAGAAAAACGGAACGGAGAGCAAUUUUUGGCUGUUCAUGGCGUUUUGCCGUUCCACCGAAG
Molecule: unclassified non-coding RNA, 1143 nt
Filed under: Hevea brasiliensis (rubber tree)
Lineage: Eukaryota; Viridiplantae; Streptophyta; Magnoliopsida; Malpighiales; Euphorbiaceae
Source: RNAcentral